ACCGGCGCACGGGUGAGUAACACGUAUGCAACCUACCUUUAACAGGGGAAUAACCCGUUGAAAAACGGACUAAUACUCCAUAACACAGGGGUCCCGCAUGGGAAUAUUUGUUAAAGAUUUAUCGGUUGAAGAUGGGCAUGCGUUCCAUUAGCUUGUUGGUGAGGUAACGGCUCACCAAGGCUACGAUGGAUAGGGGAACUGAGAGGUUUAUCCCCCACACUGGAACUGAGACACGGUCCAGACUCCUACGGGAGGCAGCAGUGAGGAAUAUUGGUCAAUGGAGGCAACUCUGAACCAGCCAAGUCGCGUGAAGGAUGAAGGUCUUAUGGAUUGUAAACUUCUUUUGCAAGGGAAUAAAGUGGGGGACGUGUCCUCCUUUGCAUGUACCUUGCGAAUAAGGAUCGGCUAACUCCGUGCCAGCAGCCGCGGUAAUACGGAGGAUCCGAGCGUUGUCCGGAUUUAUUGGGUUUAAAGGGUGCGCAGGCGGGAUGUUAAGUCGGCGGUGAAAUUUUGCAGCUCAACUGUAAAAGUGCCUUCGAUACUGGCUUUCUUGAGUGUGGAUGAAGUAGGCGGAAUUUGUGGUGUAGCGGUGAAAUGCUUAGAUAUCACGAGGAACUCCGAUUGCGCAGGCAGCUUACUAAACCACUACUGACGCUCAUGCACGAAGGCGUGGGGAUCAAACAGGAUUAGAUACCCUGGUAGUCCACGCAGUAAACGAUGAUUACUAGUUGUUUGCGAUACAAUGUAAGCGACUGAGCGAAAGCGUUAA
Molecule: ribosomal RNA, 769 nt
Filed under: uncultured bacterium
Lineage: Bacteria
Description: bacterial SSU rRNA
Rfam family: Bacterial small subunit ribosomal RNA
Source: RNAcentral